RNAcentral lists this ribosomal RNA (301 nucleotides) under uncultured bacterium. RNAcentral's name for it is "partial 16S ribosomal RNA". It matches the Rfam family "Bacterial small subunit ribosomal RNA", at positions 509 to 808 of the family's 1533-position model. The record is from RNAcentral.
CAGUAGCCGCGGGAAAACGAGGGGGGCAAGCGUUGUUCGGAAUUAUUGGGCGUAAAGGGUGCGUAGGCGGUUUGAUAAGUCAUCUGUGAAAUCUCUGGGCUCAACCUGGGAAUGGCAAUGGAAACUGGACGGCUAGAGUGUGUCAGAGGAUGGUGGAAUUCCCGGUGUAGCGGUGAAAUGCGUAGAGAUCGGGAGGAACAUCAGUGGCGAAGGUGGCCAUCUGGGACAACACUGACGCUGAAGCACGAAAGCGUGGGGAGCAAUCAGGAUUAGAGACCCCCGUAGUCCCUGUCUCUAUACA